This 265-nucleotide signal recognition particle RNA is filed under the name Clostridia bacterium. RNAcentral describes it as "signal recognition particle sRNA large type". It matches the Rfam family "Bacterial large signal recognition particle RNA". From Rfam's summary of the family: The signal recognition particle (SRP) is a universally conserved ribonucleoprotein involved in the co-translational targeting of proteins to membranes. Archaeal SRP consists of a 7S RNA and homologues of the eukaryotic SRP19 and SRP54 proteins. In most bacteria, the SRP consists of a 4.5S RNA and the Ffh protein (a homologue of the eukaryotic SRP54 protein). Lineage: Bacteria; Bacillati; Bacillota; Clostridia. The record is from RNAcentral.
CCGUGCGAAGUGGGGAGAUAGCGGUGCCCUGUACCUGUAAUCCGCUAUAACAGGACUGUAUGCCUUUUUGAGGUUUUCUUCGGUGAAGUCUGGCUUUGAUAAGUAGUGUUGACGAUGGGGUCCUAUGCAAUAUGAACUCGUGAACCGUGUCAGGUCCGGAAGGAAGCAGCACUAAGCGACCAUUCAUAUGUGCCAUAGGUGUGCCUUGUCCGAGCCGGCUGUCAAAAUACCGUUCAUUGAGGGCUAUCGAUUCUUGGCUGCACGG